Molecule: ribosomal RNA, 312 nt
Filed under: uncultured bacterium
Lineage: Bacteria
Description: bacterial SSU rRNA
Rfam family: Bacterial small subunit ribosomal RNA
Source: RNAcentral
GAUGAACGCUAGCGUACAGGCUUAACACAUGCAAGUCGAACGAGCGAGAGAGAGCUUGCUUUCUCGAGCGAGUGGCGAACGGGUGAGUAACGCGUGAGGAACCUGCCUCAAAGAGGGGGACAACAGUUGGAAACGACUGCUAAUACCGCAUAAGCCCACAGGUCGGCAUCGACCAGAGGGAAAAGGAGCAAUCCGCUUUGAGAUGGCCUCGCGUCCGAUUAGCUGGUUGGUGAGGUAACGGCCCACCAAGGCAACGAUCGGUAGCCGGACUGAGAGGUUGAACGGCCACAUUGGAACUGAGACACGGUCCAA